Lontra canadensis (Northern American river otter) is the source of this 123-nucleotide long non-coding RNA. RefSeq lists it as uncharacterized. The record is from RefSeq and is a predicted model, not a curated record. The transcript is spliced from 4 exons. NCBI's taxonomy places the organism in Eukaryota, Metazoa, Chordata, Mammalia, Carnivora, Mustelidae.
GCAGGCAAAAUUGAACUAUAUCGUUUACAGCUGCACACAUGCUGAUAAAAUUAUAAAAAAAAGUAAGGAAAUGGAUACUAUAAAAAUCAGAAUAUGGUUUAAUUUUCCCUGCUUUUAAUCUUU